GAUGAACGCUGGCGGCGUGCCUAAUACAUGCAAGUCGAGCGAACGGACGAGAAGCUUGCUUCUCUGAUGUUAGCGGCGGACGGGUGAGUAACACGUGGAUAACCUACCUAUAAGACUGGGAUAACUUCGGGAAACCGGAUCUAAUACCGGAUAAUAUUUUGAACCGCAUGGUUCAAAAGUGAAAGACGGUCUUGCUGUCACUUAUAGAUGGAUCCGCGCUGCAUUAGCUAGUUGGUAAGGUAACGGCUUACCAAGGCAACGAUGCAUAGCCGACCUGAGAGGGUGAUCGGCCACACUGGAACUGAGACACGGUCCAGACUCCUACGGGAGGCAGCAGUAGGGAAUCUUCCGCAAUGGGCGAAAGCCUGACGGAGCAACGCCGCGUGAGUGAUGAAGGUCUUCGGAUCGUAAACCUCUGUUAUUAGGGAAGAACAUAUGUGUAAGUAAAUGUGCACAUCUUGACGGUACCUAAUCAGAAAGCAACGGCUAACUACGUG
Molecule: ribosomal RNA, 497 nt
Filed under: uncultured bacterium
Lineage: Bacteria
Description: partial 16S ribosomal RNA
Rfam family: Bacterial small subunit ribosomal RNA
Source: RNAcentral